RNAcentral lists this ribosomal RNA (1280 nucleotides) under Lactobacillus sp. 3338O2. RNAcentral describes it as "bacterial SSU rRNA". It matches the Rfam family "Bacterial small subunit ribosomal RNA", at positions 72 to 1334 of the family's 1533-position model. Lineage: Bacteria; Bacillati; Bacillota; Bacilli; Lactobacillales; Lactobacillaceae. The record is from RNAcentral.
CCUUCGGGUGGAACUGGUGGAACGAGCGGCGGAUGGGUGAGUAACACGUAGGUAACCUGCCCUAAAGCGGGGGAUACCAUCUGGAAACAGGUGCUAAUACCGCAUAAACCCAGCAGUCACAUGAGUGCUGGUUGAAAGACGGCUUCGGCUGUCACUUUAGGAUGGACCUGCGGCGUAUUAGCUAGUUGGUGGAGUAACGGUUCACCAAGGCAAUGAUACGUAGCCGACCUGAGAGGGUAAUCGGCCACAUUGGGACUGAGACACGGCCCAAACUCCUACGGGAGGCAGCAGUAGGGAAUCUUCCACAAUGGACGCAAGUCUGAUGGAGCAACGCCGCGUGGAUGAAGAAGGUCUUCGGAUCGUAAAAUCCUGUUGUUGAAGAAGAACGGUUGUGAGAGUAACUGCUCAUAGCGUGACGGUAAUCAACCAGAAAGUCACGGCUAACUACGUGCCAGCAGCCGCGGUAAUACGUAGGUGGCAAGCGUUGUCCGGAUUUAUUGGGCGUAAAGGGAGCGCAGGCGGUYYUUUUAAGUCUGAAUGUGAAAGCCCUCAGCUUAACUGAGGAAGAGCAUCGGAAACUGAAARRACUUGAGUGCAGAAGAGGAGAGUGGAACUCCAUGUGUAGCGGUGAAAUGCGUAGAUAUAUGGAAGAACACCAGUGGCGAAGGCGGCUCUCUGGUCUGUUACUGACGCUGAGGCUCGAAAGCAUGGGUAGCGAACAGGAUUAGAUACCCUGGUAGUCCAUGCCGUAAACGAUGAGUGCUAAGUGUUGGGAGGUUUCCGCCUCUCAGUGCUGCAGCUAACGCAUUAAGCACUCCGCCUGGGGAGUACGACCGCAAGGUUGAAACUCAAAGGAAUUGACGGGGGCCCGCACAAGCGGUGGAGCAUGUGGUUUAAUUCGAAGCAACGCGAAGAACCUUACCAGGUCUUGACAUCUCCUGCAAGCCUAAGAGAUUAGGGGUUCCCUUCGGGGACAGGAAGACAGGUGGUGCAUGGUUGUCGUCAGCUCGUGUCGUGAGAUGUUGGGUUAAGUCCCGCAACGAGCGCAACCCUUGUUACUAGUUGCCAGCAUUAAGUUGGGCACUCUAGUGAGACUGCCGGUGACAAACCGGAGGAAGGUGGGGACGACGUCAAAUCAUCAUGCCCCUUAUGACCUGGGCUACACACGUGCUACAAUGGAUGGUACAAUGAGAAGCGAACUCGCGAGGGGAAGCUGAUCUCUGAAAACCAUUCUCAGUUCGGAUUGCAGGCUGCAACUCGCCUGCAUGAAGCUGGAAUCG